GAACUUUUGGAUAUGUAGAUCCAGAGUACUUCCAAUCAAGCUUGCUUACUGAAAAGAGUGAUGUUUAUAGUUUUGGUGUAGUUCUCGUCGAGCUCAUAACUGGACAAAAACCAAUUUCUUCAGAAAGAGUAGAAGAAGGUGUUGGAUUAGCUGCAUGUUUCAUUCUUUCAAUGGAAAAUGACAAACUCUUUGAUAUGCUUGAUCCCCAAAUUGUGGGCCAAUGCAACAUAGAAGAAGUUACUGCAGUUGCUAACCUUGCAAAAAGAUGCUUGUACUUGAACGGCAAGCUACGACCUACUAUGAAAGAAGUACUGACAGAGUUGGAAGGAAUUCAAUUAUCUCUGAAAU
Molecule: long non-coding RNA, 348 nt
Filed under: Manihot esculenta (cassava)
Lineage: Eukaryota; Viridiplantae; Streptophyta; Magnoliopsida; Malpighiales; Euphorbiaceae
Description: long non-coding RNA (MESC_LNC006469)
Source: RNAcentral